GGCUUUGUAGCUCAGCUGGUAGAGUGCUUGCUGCUUUGAGGCAUACCGUUUCUGCCGCUGGUUCGAAUCCAGCCGAGGCCA
Molecule: non-coding RNA, 81 nt
Organism: Paragonimus skrjabini miyazakii
Lineage: Eukaryota; Metazoa; Platyhelminthes; Trematoda; Plagiorchiida; Troglotrematidae
Source: the annotation of a GenBank genome assembly